GCUUCACGGACACGGAGGUGCGGGCCAGAAACGAGAGGCAGAAGAAAGGGAGCAGAAGUGAGCACAAACCCGAGGAGUAAGAGAUGAGCCCGAUGCCGUGCACGUGCGCAGUGGGUCGCGUGCCGGGCACUGCGAUGGCGGGCACGCUAGUGUCUUUCACGCCUUCCACAGCAGGCGUGCUUGGCGACGCUCACUCCGUUGAUGCACAGCUCUCCGAUAUACCAGAGAGCGCGCCGGUGCCCUGCUUCUAUUGUCUGUGCUCCGUGUGUGGGCAGUGGCUUGCUGAGGUCCCCACCGUCAGGUGUGACGCCUGCGGGUCUCGCACGCACAUAACCUGUGCUAGGGACGUCUACUCAAAUGAGUGGCUCUACGAUGAGGUAGCCGUGGCUUCGACAGCCGCAACAAGUGCAGGGGGUGGUACUCUCGGCUUGCCCAACGCCGCUUCGGCCGCUGCGAGGAACCGGCGGACACAGUACACCGGGCGGGAGCCGCGCAAUGGCGAGGGCACUGCGGGCUCGCCUACACAUGCCGCUGUUCUUGCCGCGCCAUCGGGCUUGUCAGUCUCCCCACCGCUCAGUCGCGACUCUUCGCACACGAACCUACUGCCGUCGCCGCAAGCGCUCCGCUCCGCUGCGGCAAAGAUCGACAAGGAGUAUAACUACUACUGUCACCCCGACUGCGCCAUGGGGAUGGAGGUGCUGCGCAACCCACAGUUCAACGCAACCCUUUCGCGCACAGUCGAACACGCCUUCGCGCGAGAGUGGGCACGCACACGGGAGUCGCUGGUGGCCGCCGGCGUACUGCGUGACCACAAACACGAAGCUGGCGCGCUCGGCGACGCAGCCGCAGAGGAGCAAGCGCCACUUCCUUCCUAUUCGCCGGUCAAGAGUCCUUCUGCUGCGCCGAUGAAGGUGGAGGCUGCAGAGGAGAGCACUGCGGCAUCAUCCUUCUGCCCUUCUCCUCCACCGACCGCGACAGCUAGCCCCUCAGUACCUGAGGGAGACAUGCACGGCUGCGCACCACACGCGAGUGUGGCGAAUUUUCCUGAUAUUGCUGCCUGCCAUCCGUCGGUCGCCCUGGAGGUGCUUCGACUCUACCAUCAGCUGCGCGCCGAAGCGUGGGCGGAGUACUUUGAGCAGGAGCGUCACCACUUUGGGCACCCGCUCUUCUACCCACCUCCAUUCCUCGACAUCGCGCGGGACGCCGCGUUAGGGCAUGUCGUGGAGGCCGCGUCCCCUCAGGGGCAGGCGGCGCGACUCUAUCUUCUCGACCGCAGCACGCACCCCGUGGGAUCGGCGGUGGCGAUUCCCGUUGGCGUCCUGACGCGGUGGCAGCAGCCGACGGCGGCGCCACUCAUUAAGGAGAACGACUCGAACAACUUUGUGGCGGAGGCGCUCGAGCGAAUCGUGAAUGACGCUGUGGCGCCGGAGACGGUGGUCGUGUACCGCAAGUGCAGCAAGGAGGGCCGCGUGCUGGUGUGAGAGCACGGUGACGCUGGCGCCGGCCUAGCAGAGAAGAAAACCAGCGCAGUAUGCUGUGGCGCACAUUUUCUGUCGCCCUCUUUUCGGCACGUGCACACCAGGUGUGCAUGUUGCCUUCCGUGAGGCGCGUGCUUUGCCCUCCGUCUUCUCCAUUUCGUUUUGCGUCUAGAGGGGAGUCGUUCGUGUCUGCCCACGUUGCGCGCAGCUGCAGCGCACGAGCGACGGCGAUGGCAACGCGCACCGCAGCGUCACAGCAGAGAAUCAAC
RNAcentral lists this unclassified non-coding RNA (1747 nucleotides) under Leishmania donovani. Its description in RNAcentral is "gene:LdHU3.35.2520(CDS-product:hypothetical_prote in_conserved)". The record is from RNAcentral. Lineage: Eukaryota; Euglenozoa; Kinetoplastea; Trypanosomatida; Trypanosomatidae.